RNAcentral lists this unclassified non-coding RNA (348 nucleotides) under soil metagenome. RNAcentral describes it as "partial contains 5.8S ribosomal RNA, internal transcribed spacer 2, and large subunit ribosomal RNA". The stretch from base 1 to 120 matches the Rfam family "5.8S ribosomal RNA", at positions 35 to 154 of the family's 154-position model. The record is from RNAcentral.
GAUGAAGAACGCAGCGAAAUGCGAUAAGUAAUGUGAAUUGCAGAAUUCAGUGAAUCAUCGAAUCUUUGAACGCACAUUGCGCCCGCCAGUAUUCUGGCGGACAUGCCUGUCUGAGCGUCAUUUCAACCCUCAUGCCCCUAGGGCGUGGUGUUGGGGAUCGGCCAAAGCCCGCGAGGGACGGCCGGCCCCUAAAUCUAGUGGCGGACCCGUCGUGGCCUCCUCUGCGAAGUAGUGAUAUUCCGCAUCGGAGAGCGACGAGCCCCUGCCGUUAAACCCCCAACUUUCCAAGGUUGACCUCAGAUCAGGUAGGAAUACCCGCUGAACUUAAGCAUAUCAAUAAGCGGAGGA